RNAcentral lists this long non-coding RNA (1909 nucleotides) under Dermacentor andersoni. RNAcentral describes it as "uncharacterized LOC126547429". Lineage: Eukaryota; Metazoa; Arthropoda; Arachnida; Ixodida; Ixodidae. The record is from RNAcentral.
AUUAAUAGCGUAGGUGUUUUAUUAACUGUGCAAUAUUUUCAACACUCCCUUGCAUGCCAUUUCAUGUGGAAUAUCUUUUCUGGUCACAAAUUUGUGCAGCGAAUCUAUUUGCAUGAUCGACUCCGGGCCUGUGGGACCGUUCACUUGCACUUGAUGCUGAGUCUUUUACAUGUAUCCACAAACUGCAGAUAUGCACAUCAGAUCCCUGCGAGCGUUUUCAAAAUUCAAUUAUUUUAGACAACAGGCACAUAUGCAAUACUGACAAAAUCUCAAUUACCACUAAGCAGCUGGGACACAUUUUUGUUGACCAUACUCGCAGGUAAAAUAAGAUCAUGUGGACAGCUCCAGCUCAUUUUCCUUAAAUCAGUGUGUACAAGGGGUAUGCAAAAAUAAUUUUUUCUCGCGCACCAAUGAUUUUGCUGUAUAAGCAAGAGAACCCACCACGUUAGUGUAACGUAUCUUGUACAUCACACUAAUAUGUGCUUUAAUUUACCAUGUCAGAUGAGUUACUUUUAUGGCUCAUUCAGUCAUAUCACACUGCAAGCUGCAUUCAUCAAUCUUCAAUUGGAUUUUGCAAAUGCUUAAUGAAACAUGUUUCUCUUUUAUGCAGAUAUGCAAUGGCAAGCCCUUCCGUGUGUUCCAAAGGUAAAAUUUAAGCUCUAAAUUAAAGAAGACAUUUCUAGUCAGAAACAAGCAAAAAUGGUGAAUGCAGAGUAUCAGAAGCCCAAGGUACAGAAAUUAUGAGAAGUGUCGAAUGAUUUUAAGGAAAGAGUCAUAUUUGAAAAUGCAAGACUCUUUAGUGGAGGUCAAGCAAGUCAAUAUAGGUAGAAUUCUCUGCAAAAUUAUGCGAGUGAGGGGAUGUCAAACAAUGGGUGAGGAAAUGCAUUGUUUUUCUGCAAAACAAAGGCUCAUUGCCAUUGCAUAAGUCACUUUAGCAUCAUGAGACUGCUGCUUGAUAAAUUCAGAAAUAAACCAAAAAACAAGACACGCAAAAAUAAAAAAAAACAAUUAAAUGAUGCUCUCUCCACACUGGGAUAAAUAAAAACAAACACAUAAUAUCUAAUGUGGACAUAUCAGAUGCCUUGUGAAACACUAAAGAAAAAAUUCAGUUUCGAGCUAUGGCACUUGCCGCAUAGAUGUGGGGGGCCUUGCACUAAUAGUGAUAGUUGCCACUGCAUUUAGAUAUUGAAAGCAUUCAUGCAGACAAGGAUUAUUCUUUAUAUUUUUGGCUACCAUUUCAAAUGCCUCCACCAAGUGUUACAAUGCUGCACGCAGCCAUACUAAGGAUCUCGCAGCAACACCUGUAGGUAAAAAGCAGAAGCAGUCAAAGUGCUGGUGUGUACUGGACACUAUGUUUGAAAACAUUUAGGCAAGAAGAGUGCAAGAAGCAGACAUAACAACUGCAUUUAUUUCCAUAAUUCCCCAUUUGAAUGGCCUUUUCUUUUUGCUUAGACAAUGCCUACGCCUAGCCACAGCAGCUCCCUCAUACAGACUCCGCAAGCCAAGAGGCCGUGGAGGCAAAUACAGGCAGCCAGCACACCUCGAACAGCCACCUUGACUGCUGGUGUGUCACCCUAGUCGCCAAGGAAACAUUUGAGGGAAAGCGACAGGCAAUGUGAACAGCCACUUCCCCAUGUAAACGAUACUCUUUCUCUUGGAUGACUCCUACGCCACGCCACGCCAGCACACUUGUGCACCAAGAUGCCGCGGAGGCACGUACAGGUCAGAGGCAAGAAGCAGUGGCGCUGAUGUCGACAUUCACCCAAUUUCUUUUUCUUACACUGGGGCAGCCAGCACACCUCGAACUGCCACCUUGACUGCGGGUGUGUCAGUAGAUUCCUGUUGUACAUAUGCUCAUAAUAAACUUCAGUAAACUUGAACUUGAUGAUAAACUUGAAGGCAAAUGGGA